UAUAUUUGCUCCUGUCACUCUCAUGCUUAUCACACACACACAUGGGACAAAAGAGAUUCGCAGUCAGCAGGAUUCGAACCUACGCGGGCAGAGCCCAUUUGAUUUCGAGUCAAACUCCUUAACCACUCGGACAUGACUGCAUGCCGA
Non-coding RNA from Caenorhabditis elegans, 147 nucleotides. The record is from Ensembl. Lineage: Eukaryota; Metazoa; Nematoda; Chromadorea; Rhabditida; Rhabditidae.